UGAAUUAGGACGUUGGGAGUUACCAGUGAGGCGGCGGACGGGGUGGAGUAACAACGUGGGCGAACCUGCCCCGUGGAAGCGGGGGAGUAACAAUCUGGAAACAGGUUGCUAAUACCGCAUAACAACGAAAACCACAUGGUUUUCGUUUCAAAGAUGGUUUCGGUCUAUCACUUCAGGAUGGGCCCGCGGUGCAUUAGCUAGUUGGUAAGGUAACGGCUUACCAAGGCAAUGAUGCAUAGCCGAGUUGAGAGACUGAUCGGCCACAAUGGAACUGAGACACGGUCCAUACUCCUACGGGAGGCAGCAGUAGGGAAUCUUCCACAAUGGGCGCAAGCCUGAUGGAGCAACACCGCGUGAGUGAAGAAGGGUUUCGGCUCGUAAAGCUCUGUUGUUGGAGAAGAACGUGCGUGAGAGUAACUGUUCACGCAGUGACGGUAUCCAACCAGAAAGUCACGGCUAACUACGUGCC
This 469-nucleotide ribosomal RNA is filed under the name uncultured bacterium. RNAcentral's name for it is "bacterial SSU rRNA". It matches the Rfam family "Bacterial small subunit ribosomal RNA", at positions 68 to 509 of the family's 1533-position model. The record is from RNAcentral.